Meloidogyne enterolobii is the source of this 90-nucleotide non-coding RNA. The record is from the annotation of a GenBank genome assembly. Lineage: Eukaryota; Metazoa; Nematoda; Chromadorea; Rhabditida; Meloidogynidae.
GCCCCGGUAGCUCAAUGGUAGAGCUCCUGCAUAUAGUGAGCGAAAGUGCAUAGCAACAACUAGCAGGUGUUCGAAUCCUGCCCGGUGGCU